AUUGAACGCUGGCGGCAUGCCUUACACAUGCAAGUCGAACGGCAGCACGGGAGCAAUCCUGGUGGCGAGUGGCGAACGGGUGAGUAAUAUAUCGGAACGUGCCCAGUCGUGGGGGAUAACGCAGCGAAAGCUGUGCUAAUACCGCAUACGAUCUACGGAUGAAAGCGGGGGAUCGCAAGACCUCGCGCGAUUGGAGCGGCCGAUAUCAGAUUAGCUAGUUGGUGGGGUAAAAGCCCACCAAGGCGACGAUCUGUAGCUGGUCUGAGAGGACGACCAGCCACACUGGGACUGAGACACGGCCCAGACUCCUACGGGAGGCAGCAGUGGGGAAUUUUGGACAAUGGGCGAAAGCCUGAUCCAGCAAUGCCGCGUGCAGGAAGAAGGCCUUCGGGUUGUAAACUGCUUUUGUACGGAGCGAAAAGGUCCUUUCUAAUACAGGGGGCUCAUGACGGUACCGUAAGAAUAAGCACCGGCUAACUACGUGCCAGCAGCCGCCGUAA
Molecule: ribosomal RNA, 500 nt
Filed under: uncultured bacterium
Lineage: Bacteria
Description: partial 16S ribosomal RNA
Rfam family: Bacterial small subunit ribosomal RNA
Source: RNAcentral